GGGUUGUGCUGGGGCUGCUGCAAUGGGGCUGCAGAGCACCUUCAGCAUCAACCCAGGUAGGAAUGCAUUCCAGCAAUGCAUGGGGGCUGGGCUGGGGCUGUGCUGCAUUGCUGGGGCUGUGCUGGGGCUGCUGCAAUGGGGCUGCAGAGCACCUUCAGCAUCAACCCAGGUCAGCAGCUCAAAUCCUGGAGGAAUCUGAGAAAAACGUGGGGAAGUGCUGGGAAAAAACAGGGAAAUAAUGGGCAAAUUCAAGGAGAAAUCCUGGGAAAAACAGAGGGAAAUUCACAGGGAAAUAAUGGGGAAAUUCAUAGGGAAAUUCACGGGGAAAUACUGAGAAAAACACAGGGAAAUCUUGGGGAAAACCCUGAGGAAAUCCUGGAGAAAUCACUGAGAAAUCCUGGAAAAAUCACAGAGAAAUUCUGGGAAAACCACAAGGAAAUUCUGGGAAAAUUCACAGGGAAAUCGUGGGGAAAUUUACAGGGAAAUCGUGGGAAAAUUCACAGGGAAAUACUGAGAAAAACACAGGGAAAUCCUGGGGAAAUCAUGGGAAAAUUCACAGGGAAAUUCACAGGGAAGUCUUGGGGAAAACCCUGAGGAAAUCCUGGAGAAAUCACAGAGAAAU
RNAcentral lists this long non-coding RNA (622 nucleotides) under Zonotrichia albicollis (white-throated sparrow). Its description in RNAcentral is "lncRNA (ENSZALG00000007496.1)". The record is from RNAcentral. Lineage: Eukaryota; Metazoa; Chordata; Aves; Passeriformes; Passerellidae.